This 335-nucleotide long non-coding RNA is filed under the name Carica papaya (papaya). RNAcentral describes it as "long non-coding RNA (CPAP_LNC000698)". The record is from RNAcentral. Lineage: Eukaryota; Viridiplantae; Streptophyta; Magnoliopsida; Brassicales; Caricaceae.
CGUUUAAAGAAAAAAUAAAUCUGCACCGUUCAUCGUGACUUGAUCUCGACUGUAUGAUCGUGUUUGAAGAGAAAAUAAAUUUAAAUCGUUCAUCGCGCUUAAUCGCGACCGUCCGAUCGUACCUAAGGAGGGAAUGGAUCUGGACAGUCCACGCGUGUGGGAACACAUCCGGGACGUCCGAUCAUGGGCUCGUAGAUUGCCAGCGUGACCUCCCGCAUGGCACCAAGUCAGCACGCCUUGCCAUGUGGCGCGCUUCGGUUUGUUGGAGCUGCUGACUGGACGGUCUUACGUGGUACAAUUUUUUUAAUUGCAUUUUGACCUCCAGUUUAUGAUUU